UUGCCUUCAGUCCUUCUUGUGUGCAGCAAACUGAGAAACGAGCAAGAGAGACUUCUUCCAUUGAGACGCAAACACUAGCCAGCAAACGCGAAAACUGAACAAUAGCCUACUCCUUUUUCCUUUUUCUCGAACGUAUAUUAUGUAUCUUGUAGAAUCUUUGCCUUACUAUUUCCUCAAUAUCUUUUGCUCUUAAAAAAUUUCAAGAUGAAGGAGCAAUCUCCAUGCUUUCACUGUUUCAGUUGUCGCCCAAAAAAAAAUCCUUAACUAUUUCUUCUAUCCCCAAAAGAACAAAACUCUUCAAAAAAAAUCUCCUCUCUCUCUUUCUGUCCGAGAAAGAGAAUACUUAUAGAAGAAUAUUAGGGUUUUCGAAGGAGGGAAAAGGG
This 383-nucleotide unclassified non-coding RNA is filed under the name Hevea brasiliensis (rubber tree). Lineage: Eukaryota; Viridiplantae; Streptophyta; Magnoliopsida; Malpighiales; Euphorbiaceae. The record is from RNAcentral.